Molecule: long non-coding RNA, 2705 nt
Organism: Mirounga angustirostris (Northern elephant seal)
Lineage: Eukaryota; Metazoa; Chordata; Mammalia; Carnivora; Phocidae
Exons: 4
Source: RefSeq, a predicted model, not a curated record
AAAAUAAUUAGUAUCAUCUUAUUCCAAAAAUUCCAAUUCAUAUUAAAUCAACUCUGAGUAUAAAAAUGCUAAUAUAAACUCACUCUUCAUUUCCUUGAUGAAGGAUAAAUACUUUCAUUCUUAAGAAAGGAAGGGAGGAGGAAAAAUGGAAAGCUCUUUCUUUACCGAGCUUCCUCGAGAAGGGACCCAGGAAGAGAUUAGCUUCAAGCUGAAGAUUCUAAAAGUAACUCCUUUAAAAGUUUGGGACCACCACAUCUUCACCGUACAGGUCUUUUGUUUCGACACUCUGUCAACCGCUAAGACAGAUCCUUUUUAGUCAUCGCAGAGGUGAUAGCAGGAACUCCACCCCCUUCCAGUUACCUGUAGUCAGUGGCAGUCCAGAAGCAGAUGAUCUUCCUUCUGAUGUAUGGUCAGAGGUCAGUAGGAGCCCAACGCUACGCCACAAGUGCCUCUCCUCACUCCAUCGCAUCGUGUAGACAUGCCAUCUCACGUCCUCACGAGGAGAGUAAGUACAGCUCAAGGCCAGCAGGCAAAGGGAAGAGUCACUCUACCAGCAGGAGUAAUUCUCAUGGACUAUCCCACAAGAUUCUAAGGUUGCUGCUGCAGAAUGGGGACAGACAGGAAAUUGUAUGGUACCCCAGGAACUCACUGGGACUCCUCUUGGUGUCUCCAUGCCCAGGGAAAACAAUAAAUGGAAAUUGCAUGCACUAUUACCUCACAAGGGCAUGGUAACCAAAGGUUUGCAAUUUUCAGAGAUGAAGCUCUGGGUUACCACUGGAAAAGCAACCUAGACCACCAGAAGCACUGACAAGUGAGAGGACUCUAGUAUGAGUGGUGGAAGAGGGAAAUAAUGCAGCAAGGACUGUAAUUUGUCUCACUCAUCCUCCGAAUUUUUAUUUUUUACACUGUGACUGGCCACCACCUUGAAGAAGCACUGACUGGGCGGAGAGAACUAAUGUGGGACACAAGCAGGUCUGGAUGGUGUAAGGUGCACGCUCGAGCAGAUACUCUUGGUGACUUGCCCGUUUCCCUUACAUCCCCACUUCAUGGUGCCCCAGCCAACUGGAUGCCCCUCUCUGUAGAACUUCCCCAAAGUUGUGGGAAAAUGUUCUCCCGGGUUCUGCCUGGGCACAGCACACUGGAAGUGCCAGAGACUGCUUCUUCUGGGAGCAGCCCCAACCGAUCACUGAUCAGAGUUGGUAUCAAAACACCCCAUCACCACUCAGGAGGGACCAUCUGGAGGUAUGUGUUUAACACCAUUUUGGAGCAUUUUCCCAGCAAUUGAGCUCCAGUUACCCUCAGUGCUGACUUGUUUGACCAGGUGGCUAAUUGGCUGUUUUCCUUUCUCCUCACUCCCCUACAAGGGUUUCCUGCACCUCCAAAAUAAACUGCUUCACCUGAAUCCUCAUCCAAGGAUCUGCUUCUGGGGACCUCAAAUUAAGACAGUAUCUCUAAACCAGGCAUGUAAAUAAGUGUUAAAUGUGUGUUGUAAGGAUUGCCCACUUUCCUGCUUCCAGCAUUGGGAAAAUAUAGAAAAGGAAGAGAUAAAGAGGAGUGGACGAGGUUUUGUAUGCAAUCUGUGUGUGAUGCUGUGUGACCAGGAACAUGUGAAUAUGUGACCUCAUGUGGCAAAAGGAACUUUGCAGAUGCGAUUAAAUUAAAGAUCUUAAGAUAAGGAGAUUAUUCUGGAUUAUGUGUGGGCCCAGUGCCAUCACAAGGCUCCUUAUAAAAAGGAAGCAGAGUCGGAGGAGAGGAGACCACAGGAGCAGAAGUUGGAGUGAUGCAGCCACGAGCAAAGGAAUACAGGAGACCUGGAAGCUGGAAGAGGCAGCAAAUGAAUUCACCCCUAGAGCCUCCGGAAGGAAUGAAGUUUUGCUGACAACUUGAUUUUGGCUCCCUGUAGGAGCCAUUUCAGAAUUCUGACUUCCUGAACUGUAAAAUAGUGAACUUGACCCCGCCUCUCUUGGUAUCUGACCUUGCUCCCUUUGGCUGGCUUCUCCAGGUAAAGAUGUUGGCUUUUCCAUCCUGGGAUGCUCAGAUGGAGGUGACAGUGAUGGUUACUAUGGACACCAAACCAGCCACUCACAUGCCCUGGGUUUGCCAAAAGGGCUCUGGGGCCCUUCUUGAGAUGGGAGACCUCAUCCUCUUAUCUCCAGGCCUCCAGGGAGAGGAAGGGAGAGGAGGUGCGUGGAGCACUGAUUACACACUGGAAUCAAUACCUUGUAUACAGUAGGUACAGCAGGCUAUCAAUUCAUGGUGAGAAAAACUCCACUUGACUCUGGUCCUUGCCAGUUCCUCCUCUCUUUUCCCUUCCCUACCUCAUUUUUCCCAUCGUCUCUUUCUCUUCCUCCUCUCCUGACAGGCAGUGGAGUCCAACUCCACUGGAGUCAAUUCUAACUGCCUUUUGCUAGCUGUGUGACAAUGAACCAGCAACCUACCCUCUCUGAUCCUUAAUUCCCUUACCUGUUAAGUAGGGGUGGAGAUACCUACCUUGGUUCUCUGAUGAGAACUAGAUGAGAGAAUAUCUGAAAUGUAUCCGUGCAGAGCAGGCACUCGAUUAACAUCAUUUCUACCCACUAGCCUUUUCACCACUAAGACCUAGUCAAUCAGCAGAAUUCACAGGGAAUGCAAGGUAGGAAACCACAACUUUAAUGGGAAGUUCAAGUUUCCCUUUCGUUCCAAGACAUUUCCCACGUAUUUGCCCA